Molecule: ribosomal RNA, 497 nt
Filed under: uncultured bacterium
Lineage: Bacteria
Description: partial 16S ribosomal RNA
Rfam family: Bacterial small subunit ribosomal RNA
Source: RNAcentral
GAUGAACGCUGGCGGCGUGCCUAAUACAUGCAAGUCGAGCGAACAGACGAGGAGCUUGCUCCUCUGACGUUAGCGGCGGACGGGUGAGUAACACGUGGAUAACCUACCUAUAAGACUGGGAUAACUUCGGGAAACCGGAGCUAAUACCGGAUAAUAUAUUGAACCGCAUGGUUCAAUAGUGAAUGACGGUUUUGCUGUCACUUAUAGAUGGAUCCGCGCCGCAUUAGCUAGUUGGUAAGGUAACGGCUUACCAAGGCAACGAUGCGUAGCCGACCUGAGAGGGGGAUCGGCCACACUGGAACGGAGACGAGGUCCAGACUCCUACGGGAGGCAGCAGUAGGGAAUCUUCCGCAAUGGGCGAAAGCCUGACGGAGCAACGCCGCGUGAGUGAUGAAGGUCUUCGGAUCGUAAAACUCUGUUAUUAGGGAAGAACAAAUGUGUAAGUAACUAGACACGUCUUGACGGUACCUGAUCAGAAAGCCACGGCUAACUACGUG